AGUGAACGCUGGCGGUAGGCCUAACACAUGCAGUCGAACGGCAGCACAGUAAGAGCUUGCUCUUACGGGUGGCGAGUGGCGGACGGGUGAGGAAUACAUCGGAAUCUACUUUUUCGUGGGGGAUAACGUAGGGAAACUUACGCUAAUACCGCAUACGACCUACGGGUGAAAGCAGGGGAUCUUCGGACCUUGCGCGAUUGAAUGAGCCGAUGUCGGAUUAGCUAGUUGGCGGGGUAAAGGCCCACCAAGGCGACGAUCCGUAGCUGGUCUGAGAGGAUGAUCAGCCACACUGGAACUGAGACACGGUCCAGACUCCUACGGGAGGCAGCAGUGGGGAAUAUUGGACAAUGGGCGCAAGCCUGAUCCAGCCAUACCGCGUGGGUGAAGAAGGCCUUCGGGUUGUAAAGCCCUUUUGUUGGGAAAGAAAAGCAGCAGGUUAAUACCCCGCUGUUCUGACGGUACCCAAAGAAUAAGCACCGGCUAACUUCGUG
RNAcentral lists this ribosomal RNA (491 nucleotides) under uncultured bacterium. RNAcentral describes it as "partial 16S ribosomal RNA". It matches the Rfam family "Bacterial small subunit ribosomal RNA", at positions 29 to 507 of the family's 1533-position model. The record is from RNAcentral.